GUGGGGAAUAUUGCGCAAUGGGGGCAACCCUGACGCAGCAACGCCGCGUGCAGGAAGAAGGUCUUCGGAUUGUAAACUGUUGUCGCAAGGGAAGAAGACAGUGACGGUACCUUGUGAGAAAGUCACGGCUAACUACGUGCCAGCAGCCGCGGUAAUACGUAGGUGACAAGCGUUGUCCGGAUUUACUGGGUGUAAAGGGCGCGUAGGCGGAUAAGCAAGUCAGUCGUGAAAUACCGAGGCUCAACCUCGGGGCUGCGAUUGAAACUGUUUACCUUGAGUAUCGGAGAGGAAAGCGGAAUUCCUAGUGUAGCGGUGAAAUGCGUAGAUAUUAGGAGGAACACCAGUGGCGAAGGCGGCUUUCUGGACGACAACUGACGCUGAGGCGCGAAAGUGUGGGGAGCAAACAGGAUUAGAAACCCUAGUAGUCC
This 428-nucleotide ribosomal RNA is filed under the name uncultured bacterium. RNAcentral's name for it is "bacterial SSU rRNA". It matches the Rfam family "Bacterial small subunit ribosomal RNA", at positions 354 to 796 of the family's 1533-position model. The record is from RNAcentral.